GCUGGCGGUAGGCUUAACACAUGCAAGUCGUGCGAGAAAGUAUCUUCGGAUAUGAGUAGAGCGGCGGACGGGUGAGUAACGCGUAGGAAUCUACCUAGUAGAAGGGGAUAGCCCGAGGAAACUCGGAUUAAUACCGUAUACCUCCUUUGGGAGAAAGAGGGCCUCUCUUGAUGCUCUCGCUAUUAGAUGAGCCUGCGUAAGAUUAGCUUGUUGGUGAGGUAAUGGCUCACCAAGGCUACGAUCUUUAGCUGGUCUGAGAGGACGAUCAGCCACAUUGGGACUGAGACACGGCCCAGACUCCUACGGGAGGCAGCAGUGGGGAAUAUUGGACAAUGGGCGCAAGCCUGAUCCAGCCAUACCGCGUGUGUGAAGAAGGCCUUCGGGUUGUAAAGCACUUUAAGCAGGGAGAAAAAGUUAUAAGUUAAUACCUUAUAACCUUGAUGUUACCUGAAGAAUAAGCACCGGCUAAUUCCGUGCCAGCAGCCGCGGUAAUACGGAAGGUGCAAGCGUUAAUCGGAAUUACUGGGCGUAAAGCGCGCGUAGGUGGUUUGUUAAGUUGGAUGUGAAAGCCCUGGGCUCAACCUAGGAACUGCAUCCAAAACUAACACACUAGAGUACGAUAGAGGGAGGUAGAAUUCAUAGUGUAGCGGUGGAAUGCGUAGAUAUUAUGAAGAAUACCAGUGGCGAAGGCGGCCUCCUGGAUCUGUACUGACACUGAGGUGCGAAAGCGUGGGUAGCGAACAGGAUUAGAUACCCUGGUAGUCCACGCCGUAAACGAUGACAACUAGCUGUUGGGAGACAAUGUCUUUCAGUGGCGCAGCUAACGUUUUAAGUUGUCCGCCUGGGGAGUACG
Molecule: ribosomal RNA, 853 nt
Filed under: uncultured Gammaproteobacteria bacterium
Lineage: Bacteria; Pseudomonadati; Pseudomonadota; Gammaproteobacteria
Description: bacterial SSU rRNA
Rfam family: Bacterial small subunit ribosomal RNA
Source: RNAcentral